CAAGGAGCGACCUAGGGCAAAACUAGUAACUGGGGCUAAGUCGUAACAAGGUAGCCGUACCGGAAGGUGUGGCUGGAACACCUCCUUUUUGGAGCUUA
Molecule: ribosomal RNA, 98 nt
Filed under: Bacteroidetes bacterium HGW-Bacteroidetes-5
Lineage: Bacteria; Pseudomonadati; Bacteroidota
Description: partial 16S ribosomal RNA
Rfam family: Bacterial small subunit ribosomal RNA (bases 1-88)
Source: RNAcentral